AUAGAAGUUACUUCGGUACAUCGGUGACAGGUGGUGCAUUGGUUGUCGUCAGCUCGUGUCGUGAGAUGUUGGGUUAAGUCCCGCAACGAGCGCAACCCCUAUUGUUAGUUGCCAUCAUUCAGUUGGGCACUCUAGCGAGACUGCCGGUAAUAAACCGGAGGAAGGUGGGAUGACGUCAAAUCAUCAUGCCCCUUAUGACCUGGGCUACACACGUGCUACAAUGGUUGGUACAACGAGUUGCGAGUCGGUGACGGCGAGCUAAUCUCUUAAAGCCAAUCUCAGCUCGGAUUGUAGGCUGCAACUCGCCUACAUGAAGUCGGAAUCGCUAGUAAUCGCGGAUCAGCACGCCGCGGUGAAUACGUUCCCGGGCCUU
RNAcentral lists this ribosomal RNA (373 nucleotides) under uncultured Streptococcus sp. Its description in RNAcentral is "bacterial SSU rRNA". It matches the Rfam family "Bacterial small subunit ribosomal RNA", at positions 1008 to 1382 of the family's 1533-position model. The record is from RNAcentral. Lineage: Bacteria; Bacillati; Bacillota; Bacilli; Lactobacillales; Streptococcaceae.